This is a non-coding RNA of Nomascus leucogenys (northern white-cheeked gibbon), 299 nucleotides long. It matches the Rfam family "Metazoan signal recognition particle RNA". From Rfam's summary of the family: The signal recognition particle (SRP) is a universally conserved ribonucleoprotein. It is involved in the co-translational targeting of proteins to membranes. The eukaryotic SRP consists of a 300-nucleotide 7S RNA and six proteins: SRPs 72, 68, 54, 19, 14, and 9. The record is from Rfam. Lineage: Eukaryota; Metazoa; Chordata; Mammalia; Primates; Hylobatidae.
GCUGGGUGUGGUGGCACCCAUCUGCAGUCCUGGCUACUCAGGAGGCUGAGGCGGGAGGGUGGCUUGAACCCAGGAGUUCUGGGCUACAGUCCACUAUGCUGAUUUGAUGUCUAUACUAAGCUCAGCAUCAGUAUGGUGAACUCCAGAAAGGAGGGACCACCAAGCUGCCUAAGGAGGGGUAAACCGGCCCAGAUCGGAAAUUGACCAAGUCAAAACUCCCAUGCUGAUCAGUAGUGGGAUCGUGCAUGUGACUAGCCACUGCACUCCAGCCUGGGCAACAUAGCAAAACCCCAUCUCUU